GCAAGUCGAACGGCAGCACGAGGAGCUUGCUCCUUGGUGGCGAGUGGCGGACGGGUGAGUAACGCGUAGGAAUCUGCCUAGUAGUGGGGGACAACCAGAGGAAACUCUGGCUAAUACCGCAUACGCCCUACGGGGGAAAGCGGGGGCUCUUCGGACCUCGCGCUACUAGAUGAGCCUGCGUCGGAUUAGCUUGUUGGUGAGGUAAUGGCUCACCAAGGCAACGAUCCCUAGCUGGUUUGAGAGGAUGAUC
This 250-nucleotide ribosomal RNA is filed under the name uncultured bacterium. RNAcentral's name for it is "partial 16S ribosomal RNA". It matches the Rfam family "Bacterial small subunit ribosomal RNA", at positions 57 to 305 of the family's 1533-position model. The record is from RNAcentral.